UCAAUGUUCACAAGAAUCAAAACCGGAACAACAUUAGACAACUCAGUUGCGCCCUAACGGUAUAACUUUGCAACGAGUACUUUUUCUCAUUCAAUCGAACAAAGAGUAAAAUCUAAUUAUAUUGUUCUAUUAUGCCCCGAGAGUGUAAAUUUCGAACGAAUCGUUGUCAACGUUUACAAUAACCAAAACCGGAACAACAUUAGACUACUCAGUUGCGCCCUAACAGUAUAAAUUUGCAACGAGUUCUUUUUCUCAUUCUAUCGAACAAAGAGUAAAAACUAAUUAUAUUGUUCUAUUAUGCCCCGAGAGUGUAAAUUUCGAACGAAUCGAUGUCAACGUUCACAAAAACCAAAACCGGAACAACAUUAGACUACUCAGUUGCGCCCUAAUAAUAUUACUUUGCGACGAUUACUUUUUAUCAUUCAAACAAACAAAGAGUAAAAACCUAAUUAUAUUGUUUUAUUAUGCCCCGAGAGUGUAAUAGUGGAACGAAACGAUAUCAAAGUUCACAAGAACCAAAACCGGAACAACAUUAGACUACUCGGUUGCGUCCUAACAGUAUAACUUUGCAACAAGUACUUUUUCUCACUCUUUCGAACAAAGAGUAAAAACUAAUUAUAUUGUUCUAUUAUACCCCAAGAGUGUAAUGUUGGAAGGAAUCGAUGUCAACGUUCACAAGAACAAAAUCCGGAACAACAUUAGACUACUCACUUGUGCCCUAACAUUAUAACUUUGCAACGAGUACUUUUUCUCAUUCAAUCAAACAAAGAGUAAAUCCUAAUUACAUUGUUCUAUUAUGCCCCGAGAGUGUAAUGUUGGAAGGAAUCGAUGUCAACGUUCACAAGAACCAAAACCGGAACUACAUUAGACAACUCACUUGCGCCCUGACAGUAUAAAUUUGCAACGAGUUCUUUUUCUCAUUCUAUCGAACAAAGAGUAAAAACCUAAUUAUAUUGUUCUAUUAUACCCCGAGAGUGUAAUAUUAGAACGAAUCGAUGUCUACGUUCACAAGAACCAAAAUCGGAACAACAUUAGACUACUCAGUAGCGGCCUAACAGUAUAAAUUUGCAACGAAUACUUUUUCUCAUUCUAUUGAACAAAGAGUAAAACCUAAUUAUCUUGUUCUAUUAUGCCCUGAGAGUGUAAAUUUCGAACGAAUCGAUGUCAACGUUCACAAGAACCAAAACCGGAACAAUAUUAGACUACUCAAUUACGCCCAAACAAUAUAACUUUGCAAGAGUACUUUUUCUCAUUCAAACAAACAAAGAGUAAAAACCUAAUUAUAUUGUUCUAUUAUGCUCCGAGAGCGUAAUAGUGGAACGAAACGAUGUCAAAGUUCACAAGAACCAAAACCGGAACAACAUUAGACUACUCGGUUGCGUCCUAACAGUAUAACAUUGCAACAAGUACUUUUUCUCACUCUUUCAAACAAAGAGUAAAAACUAAUUAUAUUGUUCUAUUAUACCCCGAAAGUGUAAUAUUGGAAGGAAUCGAUGUCAACGUUCACAAGAACCAAAACCGGAACAACAUUAGACUACUCACUUGCGCUCUAACAUUAUAACUUUGCAACGAGUACUUUUUCUCAUUCAAUCAAACAAAGAGUAUAUCCUAAUUAUAUUGUUCUAUUAUGCCCCGAGAGUGUAAUGUUGGAAGGAAUCGAUGUCAAUGUUCACAAGAACCAAAACCGGAACUGCAUUAGACAACUCACUUGCGCCCUAACAGUAUAAAUUUGCAACGAGUUCGUUUUCUCAUUCUAUCGAACAAAGAGUAAAAACCUAAUUAUAUUGUUCUAUUAUACCCCGAGAGUGUAAUAUUGUAACGAGUCGAUGUCUACGUUCACAAGAACCAAAAUCGGAACAACAUUAGUGUGACACCCUGACUUCCCAGGGGGUCACCCAUCCUAGGACUACUCCCGUCCUAGCAUGCUUAACUCUCUUAACCUCUUGGGUCUAGCACCACCCAAAAUGAUUAAGCCGGGUUAAGAGUUUAGCCAUAUUAUAUCUUAUAUAUAGGAUUAUCUGGGGUCUCACAUUCUCCCCUCCUUUAAGCCCUGACGUCCUCGUCAGGCUUAGACUCACAAGUACCGGGCGAUGUGAGACUCGUCUCGCUAGCCUGUCAUCCAGACCCUGGCUCAGCCGAGACUCAUCUCACACUUCCGGCUGGUAAUUGGCUCUGAUACCAUCUGUGACACCCUGACUUCCCAGGGGGUCACCCAUCCUAGGACUACUCCCGUCCUAGCACGCUUAACUCUCUUAACCUCUUGGGUCUAGCACCACCCAAAAUGAUUAAGCCGGGUUAAGAGUUUAGCCAUAUUAUAUCUUAUAUAUAGGAUUAUCUGGGGUCUCACAAUUAGACUACUCAGUAGCGGCCUAACAGUAUAAAUUUGCAACGAAUACUUUUUCUCAUUCUAUCGAACAAAGAGUAAAACCUAAUUAUCUUGUUCUAUUAUGUCCCGAGAGUGUAAAUUUCGAACGAAUCGAUGUCAACGUUCACAAGAACCAAAACCGGAAUAACAUUAGACUACUCAGUUGCGCCCUAACUGUCCCGCCCCGGGACCGAUGCCAAUUUGGCUCGACCCGAGCACGUCAAAUAGACGCCGAAUGGACAGAGUUUCCCCUAUCCGCCCAAGGCUCAUCACAUGUACAAAUUCAAACAAGAAAUGCACUAGCGAAACAUGCACAAACGGCUUACACGAGGGUAAGCAAUAGCAAUUAGUGAAAGAUAGGAAACUAGCAUUCAUUCUGUACUAUGAUUCAGUUUAGAUCAUAUACAUUACAUCCAACUUGUAAUUUAUCGAUUUCUUACAUUCAUUACAUCAUUUCAUCAUAUCUUUCUUACAUAACAUUUACCUCAAAAUACACAUUACAUUCUUUUCUUUACAGCAUUUAUUAUCAUGUACCAAAAGAUGAUCAUAGGGUACUUUACUACAAAAUGAAACCAAACUUUGGUGGCCUCUGACUAAGGCGCGAUACCUUUACCUCGGUCGCUCGCCGGCAAGCUCGGUCCCGGCUCUGUGGAAAUAGUGGGGUGAGAACUACAACAAAGUUCCCAAUGGGUUCGGCCUCAACAUCACCGACUUUCCCACUAGGACUAACUCAGGCAUAAUAGAAAGAAUAAGCUGCAUAUAGUAACCAAUCUAUACCUAAUGCUAAUAUGCCUGAACAAUAAAGCAAGGAGUAUGCUCAACAUUAAAUAAUGCAGAUUAUGCAAAUUCUUUGUUCUUUUUAUUUUACUCUUUGUUCUUUGUUCUUUGUUUUUUGCACUUUGUUCUUUGCUCUUUGUUCUUUAAUCUUAAGGCUAAUCCGGGGAUAUCGCCACAUUAACUUGCUUCACAUUAAGUCCAUCAUCGCAGGAACUCACUCGCUAGGACCGUCCUUCGGGUUUACUCCAACCCGUGAUACAUAACUCCGGAGCGCAUCGCCCGAGGGGGAGUGACCGCCCUCAAGCACGGAACUCAUAGCAAGUAUGAUCGAAUUCUUAACUUAAAGGAUUAUAUGUUCAAUCUUGACUUUACACUAACUCUAGUGUUCUUUACGUCACUUCAUGUUGCUACUCUAGCAAUCAUUGUUCUUUACAUUUCCCUACUUUUGCUAACUUUAGCAUUCUUGUUCUUUACAUUUCUUAUUCUUAUUGCCCCACUUUACUUUAACUUUACACAUUGUCAUUAUCAUCAUUCUUUACAUCACUUUGGUUCUUUGGCUCACACUAACUCUAGUGUCACUUUACUUUACGUCUUCAAAUGCCACUCGAUAUAUGUCAUAGUGUCACUCUGUUCUUUUGCUCACUUUGGGUGCUCACUUUUCUCUCAUGCAUACACAUAGGGUUUUUACAUUCAUAAGGUUCUCAACCAUCACAUUAGGCAAGUUGUACUCACAAUCAUGCAACAUCACAUUCUCAUCAUCUCUUUACCCUAAAAUGCAUUCAACAAAUAUGUAACAUAUGCUCAAUUGAAUGACACAUUAGGCAUAGAGAGAAGUUCAACGAGUUUGGAAAGCACCACCCACCUCGUAGGCUUUCAAAGGUGCUCCGACGAUUUUCUUGGGAUUUUUAGGCUUCUCGUUCUUUACCUGCGGCAAAACGAAGCCCUAAUAGGUCAUUUGCUCAUAUCUUUUCAUUGGUUCUUCGGAAUGUUAAUCCGAGCGCACCAACGUGUCGGAAAUAUCCCCAAUUAGGUUUCUAGAGGGUCAAUUGCACUUAGAAAUCCCCAUGAGCAAAGGCCCCAAUUUGGUGCCCUAGCUCCAUAGCAUUCAUCAAACCUAGGGUUUGAUCUCAAAGAGAAGCAAAAGUAGCUUCAUUCUACUCUAAAGAGUCCAUCUAAACCAUCUUUAGACAAAUCAAAACCCUACUUAGGGUUUCACCAUGAGAGGUGAUGAAGCUCACCUUCAAGCUUCACCAUUUCUAUGGUCUUGAUCUCAAAAGAAGCAAAAGAAAAGCUUCAAAUACUCAAAUGGUUCCAUAAAACCCAUUUUAAACUUAAUCCAAACCCUAAAUUAGGUUCUACCAUAAUUAGGGUUCAAAGCUUACUUUGUAAGCUCUCAUUUUCCAAGCUAGAGAUGAGGGAGAGGGAGUUUCUUCACUUCUUCUUCUUCUUCUCGACUUUCUUCUUCUUCUUUUUCCUUCCUUUUCCUUCUCUUCUUCUUCUCCUUCUUUGUCUUCUAGACAGAGAAAAAGAGAUGAGAGGGGAUGAGAGGGUGAGAUUGAGAGAAAUCCCUCAUUUACCCCAAUACAUAGCUCAUUGGGUUGCAAAAUUGCAGAUAAACCCCUCAACUUUUACUCUUUCACACAGCCUGGACUGGGCUGUUCGCGCAGGCGGGUACCGGUCUUUCCUUCAGGGACCGGUUCUCGAAGGCUCUCCCCGCGCAGCCAGAGCUGCUGCGCGCAGGACAACCGGUCUCUCUUUGGGGGACCGGUCUCUCGGGGACCGGUCUCUCAGGUAGGGACCGGUUCCCGAGAGCUAGUUUCUCAGGACUUAGCCGAUUUUUCGACUGUCUCAUUUCAUACGCGUUCGGGGACCGGUCUCUCCCACCAGGGACCGGUCCCCCAGAGCUCAAAACUGCAGAAUGCAGAUUUUGAUUCUAUAGCUCUCGAAAACCUCCCGUAACUCACUUUUAAUCAUUUUAACACCAUCGGACUUUUCGAAGUGUACCAUCCUUGCACUUUGGUCAAUUUGACUAAAGUUCGAUAUUUAUUUUCCGAAUUUUCGGUAUAUUACACUAACAGUAUAAAUUUGUAACGAGUUCUUUUUCUCAUUUAAUCAAACAAAGAGUAAAACCUAAUUAUAUUGUUCUAUUAUGCCCCGAGAGUGAAAUGUUGGAACGAAUCGAUGUCAACGUUCACAUGAACCAAAACCGAAACAACAUUAAACUACUCAUUUUCGCCCUAACAGUAUAAAUUUGCAACGAGUACUUUUUUUCAUCCAAUCCAAAAAAGAGUAAAACCUAAUUAUAUUGUUCUAUUACACCCCGAGAGUGUAAUGUUGGAAGGAAUCGAGAUCAACGUUCACAAGAACCAAAAUCGGAACAACAUUAGACUACUCGCGCCCUAACAUUAUAACUUUGCAACGAGUACUUUUUCUCAUUCAAUCAAACAAAGAGUAAAUCCUAAUUACAUUGGUCUAUUAUGCCCCAAGAGUGUAAUGUUGGAAGGAAUCGAUGUCAACGUUCACAAAAACCAAAACCGGAACUGCAUUAGACAACUCACUUGCGCCCUAACAGUAUAAAUUUGCAACGAGUGCUUUUUCUCAUUCUAUCGAACAAAGAGUACAAGCUAAUUAUACUGUUCUAUUAUACCCUGAGAGUGUAAAUUUCGAACGAAUACAUGUCAACGUUAACAAGAACCAAAACCGAAACAACAUUAGACUACACAGUUGCGCCCUAACUGUAUAACUUUACAACGAGUACUUUUUCUCAUUCAAUCAAACAAAGAGUAAAACCUAAUUGUAUUGUUUUAUUAUGCCCCGAGAGUGUAAUAUUGGAACAAAUCGAUGUCAACGUUCACAAGAACCAAAACCGGAACAACAUUAAACUACUCGGUUGCGCCAUAAUAGUAUAAAUUUGCAACGAAUACUUUUUCUUAUUCUAUCGAACAAAGAGUAAAAGCUAAUUAUAUUGUUCUAUUAUGCCCCGAGAGUGUAAAUUUCGAACGAAUCGUUGUCAACGUUCACAAGAACCAAAACUUGAACAAUAUUAGACUACUCAGUUGCGCCCUAACAGCAUAAAUUUGCAACGAGUUUUUUUUCUCAUUCUAUCGAACAAAGAGUAAAAACUAAUUAUAUUGUUUUAUUAUGCCCUGAGAGUGUAAAUUUCAAACGAAUCGAUGUCAACGUUCACAAGAACCAAAACGGAAACAACAUUAGACUACUAAGUUGCGCCAUAACAGUAUAACUUUGCAACAAGUACUUUUUCUAAUUCAAUCGAACAAAGAGUAAAACCUAAUUACCUUGUUCUAUUAUGCCCCGAGACUGUAAAUUUCGAACGAAUCGAUGUCAACGUUCACAAGAACCAAAACCGGAACAACAUUAGACUACUCAGUUGCGCCCUAACAAUAUAACUUUGCAACGAGUACUUUUUCUCAUUCAAACAAACAAAAAGUAAAAACCUAAUUAUAUUGUUCUAUUAUGCCCCGAGAGUGUAAUAGUAGAACGAAACGAUGUCAAAGUUCACAAGAACCAAAAUCGGAACAACAUUAGACUACUCGGUUGCGUCCUAACAGUAUAACUUUGCAACAAGUACUUUUUCUCACUCUUUCGAACAAAGUGUAAAACCUAAUUAUAUUGUUCUAUUAUGCCCCGAGAAUGUAAAUUUCGAAUGAAUCGAUGUCAACGUUAACAAGAACCAAAACCGAAACAACAUUAGAAUACACAGUUGCGCCCUAACUGUAUAACUUUGCAACGAGUACUUUUUCUCAUUCAAUCAAACAAAGAGUAAAACCUAAUUGUAUUAUUCUAUUAUGCCCCGAGAGUGUAAUAUUGGAACGAAUCGAAGUCAACGUUCACAAGAACCAAAACCGGAACAACAUUAAACUACUCGGUUGCGCCCUAACAGUAUAAAUUUGCAACGAGUACUUUUUCUUAUUCUAUCGAACAAAGAGUAAAAGCUAAUUAUAUUGUUCUAUUAUGCCCCGAGAGUGUAAAUUUCGAACGAAUCGUUGUCAAUGUUCACAAGAACCAAAACCGGAACAACAUUAGACUACUCAGUUGCACCCUAACAGUAUAAAUUUGCAACGAGUUCUUUUUAUCAAUCUAUCGAACAAAGAGGAAAAACUAAUUAUAUUGUUCUAUUAUGCCCUGAGAGUGUAAAUUUCAAACGAAUCGAUGUCAACGUUCACAAGAACCAAAACCGAAACAACAUUAGACUACUAAGUUGCGCCUUAACAGUAUAACUUUGCAACGAGUACUUUUUCUCAUUCAAUCGAACAAAGAGUAAAACCUAAUUACCUUGUUCUAUUAUGCCCCGAGACUGUAAAUUUCGAACGAAUCGAUGUCAACGUUCACAUGAACCAAAAUCGGAACAACAUUAGACUACUUAGUCGCGCCCUGACAAUAUAACUUUGCAACGAGUACUUUUUCUCAUUCAAACAAACAAAGAGUAAAAACCUAAUUAUAUUGUUCUAUUUUACCCAGAGAGUGUAAUAGUGGAACGAAACGAUGUCUACGUUCACAAGAACCAAAAUCGGAACAACAUUAGACUACUCAGUAGCGGCCUAACAGUAUAAAUUUGCAACGAAUACUUUUUCUCAUUCUAUCGAAGAAAACGUAAAACCUAAUUAUAUUGUUCUAUUAUGCCCUGAGAGUGUAAUGUUGGAACGAAUCGUUGUCAACGUUCACAAGAAGCAAAAUCGGAACAACAUUAGACUACUUAGUUUCGCCCUAACAGUAUAAAUUUGCAACGAGUUCUUUUUCUCAUUUAAUCAAACAAAGAGUAAAACCUAAUUAUAUUGUUCUAUUAUGCCCUGAGAGUGUAAUGUUGGAACGAAUCGUUGUCAACGUUCACAAGAACCAAAACCGGAACAACAUUAAACUACUCAGUUUCGCCCUAACAAUAUAAAUUUGCAUCGAGUACUUUUUCUCAUUUAAUCAAAAAAAAGUAAAACCUAAUUAUAUUGUUCUAAUAUACCCCGAGAGUGUAAUGUUGGAAGGAAUCGAUGUCAACGUUCACAAGAAUCAAAACCGAAACAACAUUAGACUACUCACUUGCGCCCUAAUAUUAUAACUUUGCAACGAGUACUUUUUCUCAUUCAAUCAAACAAAGAGUAAAUCCUAAUUAUAUUGUUCUAUUAUGCCCCGAGAGUGUAAUGUUGGAAGGAAUCGAUGUCAACGUUCACUAGAACCAAAACCGGAACUGCAUUAGACAACUCACUUGCGCCGUAACAGUAUAAAUUUGCAACGAGUGCUUUUUCUCAUUCUAUCGAACAAAGAGUAAAAGCUAAUUAUAUUUUUCUAUUAUGAUGCCCCGAGAGUGUAAAUUUCGAACGAAUUGAUGUCAACGUUCACAAGAACCAUAACCGAAACAACAUUAGACUACGCAGUUGCGCCCUAACUGUAUAACUAUGCAACGAGUACUUUUUCUCAUUCAAUCAAACAAAGAAUAAAAGCUAAUUAUAUUGUUGUAUUAUGCCCCGAGUGCGUAAAUUUUCGACAAAUCGAUGUCAAUGUUCAUAAGAACCAAAACCGGAACAACAUUAGGCUACUCAGUUGCGCCCUAACAGUAUAAAUUGGCAACGAGGGCUUUUUCUCAUUCUAUCGAACGAAGAGUAAAAAAUGUGUCGGUUCUAUUAUGCCCCGAGAGGGUAAAUUAGAUGUCCACAUUCACAAGAACGAAAACCGGAACAACAUUAAGCUACUCAAUUGCGGCCAAACAGCAUAAAUUUGGAACGAGUAAUUUUUCUCAUUCAAUCGAACAAAGAGUAAUACCUAAUUAAAAUGUUCUAUUAUGCCCCGAGAGGGUAAAUUAGAUAUCCACGUUCACAAGAACGAAAACCGGAACAACAUUAGACUACUCAAUUGCGCCCUAACAGUAUAAAUUUGCAACGUGUACUUUUUCUCAUUCAUUCAAACAAAGAGUAAAACCUAAUUAAAAUGUUCUAUUAUGCCCUGAGAGGGUAAAUUAGAUGUCCACGUUCACAAAACGAGAACCGGAACAACAUUAGGCUACUCAAUUGCGCCCUAACAUUAUAAAUUUGCAACGAGUACUUUUUCUCAUUCAAGCGAAUAAAGAGCAAAACCUAAUUAAAAUAUUCUAUUAUGCCCCGGGGAGGUAAAUUAGAUGUCCACGUUCACAAGAACGAAAACCGGAACAACAUUAAGCUACUCAAUUGCGGCCAAACAGUAUAAAUUUGGAACGAGUACUUUUUCUCAUUCAACCGAAUAAAGAGUAAUACCUAAUUAAAAUGUUAUAUUAUGCCCCGAGAGGGUAAAUUAGAUAUCCACUGUCACGCCCCGAGACCGAUACCAAUUUGGUCCGGCCCGGGCGCGUCGAACAGACGCCGAACGGACAGGACCUACCCCGUCCGCCCAAGGCUAACCAACGGAUCAUGUAUAAGAAUUUACCCAGAAAUCAAUUCAUAAAUACACGA
RNAcentral lists this long non-coding RNA (9573 nucleotides) under Ananas comosus (pineapple). RNAcentral describes it as "long non-coding RNA (ACOM_LNC037886)". Lineage: Eukaryota; Viridiplantae; Streptophyta; Magnoliopsida; Poales; Bromeliaceae. The record is from RNAcentral.